CUCUAGCUGGUCUAGUGGGUAGGAUGCCUGGUUUUCACCUAGGCUGCCCAGGUUCACUUCCUGAGCAGGGAA
RNAcentral lists this transfer RNA (72 nucleotides) under Sus scrofa (pig). It matches the Rfam family "tRNA". Rfam says of the family: Transfer RNA (tRNA) molecules are approximately 80 nucleotides in length. Their secondary structure includes four short double-helical elements and three loops (D, anti-codon, and T loops). The record is from Rfam by way of RNAcentral. Lineage: Eukaryota; Metazoa; Chordata; Mammalia; Artiodactyla; Suidae.